Molecule: RNA transcript, 2609 nt
Organism: Coturnix japonica (Japanese quail)
Lineage: Eukaryota; Metazoa; Chordata; Aves; Galliformes; Phasianidae
Gene: NCAPH
Gene name: non-SMC condensin I complex subunit H
Source: RefSeq, a predicted model, not a curated record
GUGGGAGCAAGGAGGGAGGACUUCCUGCUCGGUGGGCGCUGCCUCAGUCCGCCAUGAGGGCCGCGACCCCUCGGAGGGGCAGAGCGGAGGCGGUGGAGUCGCUGUUGUCUCGUUCUCUCAGCCGCCCGGCCACCCCCACGUUGGUCGAGUGUCCCGGGAACGAUGAUGAGAGGGAAAGGAGGCAGCGCCGGCGCUCUCGGGCGGUGGAUCUGCAGCUCGGCGGCACCGAGUCGCCGCUCAGUCUCUGCUCUCCGGUGUCCAGGCCGGCGGAUGCGUCGCUGCCGGUUCUGUCGGGAUGGACGAACGCGCAGAUCUCGAAGCAUUACGCCGCCUGCAUCAAACUGUCUGCCGAGAACAAAAUCAACACCAAGAAUGUUUUUGGCUUACAUCUGAUAGACUACAUGACAGAUAUACUGAAACAGAAGGACUCCGAGCUGAUCAACUUCAAGAUGGCAGCUGGCACCAUCGAUGCCAGCGCGAAGAUCUACGCUGUGCGUGUGGAUGUGGUCCAUGCUGAUACAUACAAAGUUCUUGGAGGCUUAGGCAAGGAGCCUGCACCUACAAAAGAUGUGGGAGGCCCAGAGGAAGAGGAAGACAAUACAGCUCCCAAGAAAGUUCAAACAAAGAAAAAACAUUCCUUCAAAACGAUUGAACAGAACUUGAACAACAUCAAUGUGACAGAGACCAAUCGGAGAUGUGAGGUUGACCCCAUGUUCCAGAAAACAGCAGCAUCUUUUGAUGAAUGCAGCACAGCUGGAAUCUUCCUCACCAGCCUACGUACACAGAGCUGUAAUAGCGAGCUCCUUUUUGACUCCAAGAUCGUGCCUCUCCCAUCUUCGGAAACCCUUGUUCUGCCCAACAAUGAUCCUGUGAAUGUGACAGAUUUGAAGCUGCUGCUAGAAAAGUGUGUUUUAAAACACCCCAUCUGUUCUACGCUGGCUGAUUUCCAGUUCAUGAAGUGGGACGCCGAAUCCCAUGAGGAGUCAGUAUCAGCCCUGCUGGAUAAGUUUAAGAAGAGCGACCAAGUAUUCGAUAUCAAUGCAGAAAGAGACAGUGAUGUGGAAGAUGAUGUUCCUGCCCUGUCAGAUGAUGACUUCAAUGCGGACUCCCCCAGGAGUGUAGCAGCAGAAAAUAUUGGGGAAUUUGCAGGAGACAAAUCUCUCAUGGUAGUCCAUGAGAACAGCAAGAGAACUGAUGCGAUUUCUUUUGGAGAAGGAGACAUCGGGACCAUGUGCCUUCAUCUCUCCAUGAAACCAGGGGAAUACUCCUACUUCAGCCCCCGAAUUCUGUCAAUGUGGGCUGGCCCGGAGCACUGGCACUUCAAACCUCGACACAAAUCAAGCGUUGACUCUGAGAAAGAGAACAAGAAGAAGAAGGCAAAGAAAGCAUUUGAAGUGAACUUCGAUGAGGAUAUUGACUUUGAGACCUAUUUCCGUAAGACAAAGGCUGCUUUAACUCUGAGUAAAUCCAUUCUGGAAAACCAGAACGUGAAGAGCACCACACUUCCUGCAGACUUCAACUACAACCCGAACAACAUCGUCCAGCUGUUCCUUAAACCAGCUGCUAAGUCUCAUCUCUGCAGCUCUUCAGGCUGCCUGAGGCCGGAAGCUCGUUGGAUCACGAAGAUGAGAUCGGCGAAUAUGAUUACAAUAACCCCAAUGACACCUCCAAUUUCUGCCCUGCAGCACAGGCUGCAGACAGUGAUGAUGACAACGAGCCCGUUCAAUUCAUGGGCCAAACAGAGUUCAACCUUACCUCUCACCCCGAGGGUCAAGAUCACGAGCUCAAUGGGGUUGAUGGAGUUGAUAUCACGAUGUACGGGGAGAUGAACCUCAUCGCUGAGCCUCAGAAGGUCAAUAAGAUUGCGAUUCAGUACGCGAAGACAGCCAAGAAAAUGGACAUGAAGAGGUUGAAACAAAGCAUGUGGGACCUUCUUACUGAUAUACAGAGAAACUCAGUGGCACAGAUUGAAGAUGUGGAGAAACAGAGCGACAAGUCAGUGGUGACAGGGGAAAAGGCCUUCAGCAGCGUCACAAAGGAACUGAUUUACAGGUUGCCUUCUGUGAUGGCUAAAAAUCUGUCUGUCCCUUUGGCCUUCGCCUGCCUCUUGCACUUGGCAAAUGAGAAGAACCUGAAACUGAACAGCACGGAGGACCUGUCUGAUGUCAUCGUGAGACAAGGAGACUGAGCCGCGUGUGGAGCAGCUCAGCCAGGCUGACCCCCAUGCUGGAGCUUUGCUCCCCAGCUGGGCAGUGCUUGUUCUGCAGCAGGGGCAGGUUUUCCUCCUCCCAGCAUCGCUGAGAAGCCCUGCUGCUCUGUGGGUGACUGAACUGCAGAUGUGGUCCCACCUACUAAACCUGGAGGCCAUACAGAGGCCAUACAGACGGCCAGCUGCUGCUCAGCCUGCCCCCUUCCACCCAUCCCUCCUUCCUGGGAUGAGGAGCAGAGUUGUGCAGUUCCUCUGAACUCCGUCAUUGGUUGCCUGUAACCCAGUAUACUGAGUGACUUAGCGACGUUUCCAGUUCUCAUGGUCCUUUACCUUUGUCUGGUCUUUCCCUGACAUGACUGAUACUGAGCUCCCCAAUAAUAAAUUCCUACUGACUUUGUUA